RNAcentral lists this non-coding RNA (27 nucleotides) under Rattus norvegicus (Norway rat). The record is from RNAcentral. Lineage: Eukaryota; Metazoa; Chordata; Mammalia; Rodentia; Muridae.
UAGAGACAGCGCUCAAGGCUUACAUGG